AUAACCCACAAUUUCUUUUUUCUAGGCUUUUGGGACGAUUUGGUCUGUCAUUCUUAACAUGAAGUGGAGUUGCUCUUCUCCUUCUUCCUUGAAGCUUGUGGCAAUUUUGUUGUUAGUAUUCUUAUCAUUGGAUGCAGGUACAGAGGCAGCAGAGAAGGAGGCUUGCUCAGGUGGUAUGAUUCGUAUAGAUAAGGGAUGCUCAAGGGAAGCCUGCGAUGAGAUUUGCCGUAUGGUGAAUGGUCUAAAUUCGUUUCAUUUUAUUGGUGAAUGCCGCGAUAAAUACAUGUGCUGUUGCGUUCUGAAGGGCUGACUGACCAUACCUUUUUUUCUGAAACAUUAAUCUUUUUUUUAAAUGCAUGAAUAAAGCAACCACCCUUUUCUA
Mangifera indica (mango) is the source of this 382-nucleotide long non-coding RNA. RefSeq lists it as uncharacterized. Lineage: Eukaryota; Viridiplantae; Streptophyta; Magnoliopsida; Sapindales; Anacardiaceae. The record is from RefSeq and is a predicted model, not a curated record. The transcript has 2 exons.